This 254-nucleotide ribosomal RNA is filed under the name uncultured bacterium. RNAcentral describes it as "partial 16S ribosomal RNA". It matches the Rfam family "Bacterial small subunit ribosomal RNA", at positions 524 to 777 of the family's 1533-position model. The record is from RNAcentral.
UACGUAGGGACCAAGCGUUGUUCGGAUUUACUGGGCGUAAAGGGCGCGUAGGCGGCUACGCACGUCCGUUGUGAAAUCGCUCGGCUCAACUGGGCGGGGUCAGCGGAUACGGUGUAGCUGGAGCAAGCUAGGGGGCAAUGGAAUUCCCGGUGUAGUGGUGGAAUGCGUAGAUAUCGGGAGGAACACCAGUGGCGAAGGCGGUUGCCUGGAGCUUUGCUGACGCUGAGGCGCGAAAGCGUGGGGAGCGAGUCCGG